This 252-nucleotide ribosomal RNA is filed under the name uncultured bacterium. RNAcentral's name for it is "partial 16S ribosomal RNA". It matches the Rfam family "Bacterial small subunit ribosomal RNA", at positions 524 to 776 of the family's 1533-position model. The record is from RNAcentral.
GACGAAGGAUGCAAGCGUUAUCCGGAUUCAUUGGGUUUAAAGGGAGCGUAGGUGGCCUUAUAAGUCAGUGGUGAAAUCUCUGGGCUUAACCCAGAAAUUGCCAUUGAUACUGUAGAGCUUGAGUAUAGAUGCCGUUGGCGGAAUAUGACAUGUAGUGGUGAAAUACAUAGAGAUGUCAUAGAACACCGAUUGCGAAGGCAGCUAACGAAACUAUAACUGACACUGAGGCUCGAAAGUGUGGGAUCAAACAGG